AGAUGUCCUUGCUCGCAGAGCAGCUCCUUCCUGGCGGCCACCAUCCCCUCUGCUGAUGCGGUAGCGUUGCCUCGCUGCUGUCUUUCCCCCGCUGUGUGGAGAAGAAGGGCUGGCUGCUCGUGAAGUGUGAGCUCGGGAGGAGAAGGAGCCCGACCCUGCGUGCUAAUUGCUGUUCCGGUGUCCCUGCUGCAAUUUGUUUCACCACUAGCCAUGGCCUCCUCUAAUCUGGUGGUGGCUAUAUUAGUGGAAAGUAAGAUUUAUGAUUUCAGCCACUGGGAAACACAUACUGGGUUGCACAGAUGAAGUGCAGAGUAUUUGGCCUAGAUUCUGCCAGAUGUAAAUCCGCUGAAAUGACUACACAAAUUGGACAGUCUCUGCUGCCUGCUUUUCCCCAAUUUAAUGCUUUAAUAAAAUCAAAUUAAUAAAGACAAAUUAAAAGACA
Columba livia (rock pigeon) is the source of this 442-nucleotide long non-coding RNA. RefSeq lists it as uncharacterized. The record is from RefSeq and is a predicted model, not a curated record. The transcript has 2 exons. NCBI's taxonomy places the organism in Eukaryota, Metazoa, Chordata, Aves, Columbiformes, Columbidae.